RNAcentral lists this long non-coding RNA (336 nucleotides) under Lathyrus oleraceus (garden pea). RNAcentral describes it as "Pisum sativum (pea) long non-coding RNA (PSAT_LNC014878)". The record is from RNAcentral. Lineage: Eukaryota; Viridiplantae; Streptophyta; Magnoliopsida; Fabales; Fabaceae.
UUCAUUGACUGCCUUCCACUUGUCCAAAUGGGAUUGAAAUUUGACAUGCUUACCAUGCUAUGUGUUAGGUUUGAUCAUGAUUUAUUUCGUGAUUUUUGGAAAAUGUUUAGAUUGCUUUUGAGUUAAGUCUUUCUGUUGACUUCUAUGAGCUUCUGUUUGCCAUGUUUUGACCUAAGUGGUUCAUGAAAUGAUGAUAGUGAUUGAUAUGGAUGUGAGCCCAAUUGGUUUUGUUUCCUAAUUGUUUGAACAUGAUUUGGAUACUUACCCUUGCUGUUUUUACUUUCUCAUUCACUUUUGACCCUAGGCUUGCCCUAGUGGUCCUGUUACUCACCUUUG